Molecule: long non-coding RNA, 1170 nt
Filed under: Nothobranchius furzeri (turquoise killifish)
Lineage: Eukaryota; Metazoa; Chordata; Actinopteri; Cyprinodontiformes; Nothobranchiidae
Description: lncRNA (ENSNFUG00015024264.1)
Source: RNAcentral
AUGUUUUCUUUUACAUCCUGUCCUGCCUCGUGUCGUUCUGGGUAUCUGCACAUUGGGUCCUACUCCUCCAACCCUCAACGUGACAGAAUGGACCAGCCAACCCAGGACCCAGCAACAACCCCAGGUGAUCCAACACUGCGCCAAGGGAUGUACACCUUCGACAGUGACCCGGACACCUGUCGCAAAUUUAUUUGGGACUGUGUCAGCUUCGUGGAUAUGGACGGCUUGGACGUGGACCUAGUUAUAUUUAUGGUGCUGUGCCUAAAGGGUAAAGCCCUGCAAUGGGCUGCCCGCUAUUUCGAGCAGUAUCCUAUAGGAGAAGUUGGUUUUUGGAUUUUUGCCAAUGAUCUACAAGAUGCCUUCUGCGGCAACCCACAACCACCCUCUUCACUCACCGCCACACCUUCAUCUGGCCGAGGCAGCGCUACCGGCUUUUCCCUGGUGGACUACCAUCUGUUAGCUGCCUCCCUCUUAUUAGGCGCCCUCUCUGCAUCUCCAAGGGGCCGAAUCUGCACAUCUUCACACGGUCCAGAGACAGCGCUACCUCCUCAUCUCAGGUGGUCUGCCAUUCAUCCUCAUCCUCUGCCUCAGCUGGUGCCAUCUCCACACGUCAACACAGUCACCGGCAGUCUCCUGAGGCCAGAGCAGCACCGUCAGUCCGGGUGUUUCCUACUCUGCAACCCCGGCCUGUCCAAAAAGCUCUGCCUGCAGCGGCCCAGCCCGUCCAAAAAGCUCCGCCUGCAGCGGCCCAGCCCGUCCAAAAAGCUCCGCCUGCAGCGGCCCAGCCCGUCCAAAAAGCUCCGCCUGCAGCGGCCCAGCCCGUCCAAGAGGCUCCGCCUGCAGCGGCUCAGCUGGUCCAAGAAGCUCCACCCCUGUCCCAGCUGGCCUAGCCGGUCCGAGAGUCCUCGUCUUUGCCUGCAGGGUCUACGCCUGCAGUGUACUGGUCUACGCCUGCAGUGUUCUGGUCUACACCUGCAGGGUCUUCGUCUGCAGAGUCUCCAGAGUUUUCGUCUGCAGAGUCUCCUCCUCAUCCUCCAGAGACUACGUCCACUCAGCCUGCAGAGUCUUCGCCAGCCGAGUCUCCAGAGUCUUCGCCAGCCGAGUCUCCUCCUCAGUCUCAUCCUCCUCCACCAAAGUCGUCGUCCCUCAGGGCUGUGCAGCGACAUUUGA